CCAUGGAAUUUUCGUUGAAUGGGCGUUUACAAUGCCUGCGUGGAGAUCCCUCACUCACUCGCAGGGCCUGUUCCAUUCACGAGCUCUGUUCAGGUGAGCAAGGAGAUGAGUGUUGGGCGUUGAGGUCUUUGGAUGGGGGUGCGACGUUGGAGCGAUUCGGGGUUUCUGAGUCCCUUUCGCCAUCUGCUAAGAACGAACUGGAGGCUGUCUUGGCAGCCUUUCCGUCUGUGAGUGCGCCCUCAGCAAGUCUUCCUCCAGCAAGGGAGUGUGAUCACCGAAUUGUGCUUCAACCAGGAGCUGGACCUGUCUCUGUGCGUCCCUACCGAUACAAUCAUUUGCAAAAAGAUGAGAUGGAGAAGUUGGUGGCCGAGAUGAUUGCAGCAGGGAUUAUACAGCCGAGCAACAGUCCGUAUUCCAGUCCUGUGCUGUUGGUUCGCAAGAAGGAUGGAUCAUGGCGUUUCUGCGUUGAUUAUCGUGAGUUGAAUAAGAUAACAGUACCAGACAAAUAUCCAAUACCAGUAAUCCAGGAAUUAUUAGACGAGUUACAUGGAGCAGCAUGGUUCAGCAAAUUGGACCUUCGAGCUGGGUAUCAUCAGAUUCGAGUGGCUCGAGCCGACGUACCCAAACCGCCUUUCGAACUCACUCAGGACAUUAUGAGUUCUUGGUCAUGCCCUUUGGUUUGACAAUGCUCCAGCUACGUUUCAGAGUUUGAUGAAUGACUAUUUUUCGACCUAUUUCUACGCAGAUUCGUGUUGGUAUUCUUUGAUGNUCUAGGUAUUGAGAAUUAUUAUUGUGUUUGGGACGGCUUGCCGUAGGCCUCAGUUGAGGAGAGAUAUUACAGUACGUAUUUUACUUCUUGUGUUCUGCCUUAACUCUAUCAAUUUGGUCCGACCUGCCGGAUCGAAAGAUGACGAUGACGAGAGACCAACAACGCAUGGAGCAGAUAGAGAAGGCACUGGAGGAACUUCGCGCUGCCCAGUCUGCAGCGGCGGCGAAGCAAGCAGCGUCAGAUUCUAAACUUGACGCCAUUCUCGCCCAGUUGAAAUCCUUUGAUCACUUUGAUCGGGGCCCCGAUCCCUCGCUGUCGGAGUCAGAAAGUUUCCCCCACUCCCGAUGUUGCAGAAGAUGGAGAUGCCCAGUUUCGACGGAUCUGAUGCUCGUGCAUGGCUUGCACGUGCAGAGCAGUAUUUCUUGGUGCACCAGACACCUGCGGCGAAGAAGGUGGAGUUCGCCGUGAUAGCCUUGUCAGGGUCAUCGAUGUCUUGGUAUCAAUUGCUGAUCAGGAGAAUACCUAAUCCCGAUUGGGUAACUUUUUCGCCAGGAGUUGUUGAUUCGAUAAUGGCGAUGAGUCCGCAAUUAACGGCUAUGAAGCCUUGCUUGCAGUCAAGCAAACAGGUUCUCUCGAGGAAUAUAUCGCCGCUUUUUGAGAAUAGGGUUUCACAAAUUCCUGAUUUCUCGGAUGCGCAUUACUUGGGAUUUUUCUUGGGUGGGUUGAAGAAGCAUCUACGAGCCCAGAUUCAAGAUAGUGUAAUUUUCAGCUAUUCAGCCGCUUUACAGGCUGCUCGAAAGAUAGACCAUGCGACAUCGCCAGCCCCACCGUCGAAUACUACAAGGUCUGUCCCCACGAUGAACUACUCGACACGGCCAUCUUACACGCGCCCGAGCCAUUCGGCGUCACAAGGUUCCAUACCUCAGGCAAGCACAUUGCCUACGUAUUCCCAAGGCUCAUCAGCUCCGCGGAGUUCUAGGAACUUUCGACAGGUCUCCAACGACGAAUUUAGGAAACACAUGGCAGCAGGAACGUGUUUCCGUUGUGGAGGAAAGUUUGGUCCUAUGCACCGUUGCCCUCCUAAAACAUUACAGGUGCUGAUCGGUGAUGAGGAUGAUGAGCAAAGUGACGAGCUGCAACAACCCCAGGGGGUGAGUUUGGAGGAAAAGGAACUGGAGGAGGCAGCAGAGCUACAGCAGCUCCAAUUAUCAGAACUAACGUCGUUUGGUUUUGACGGACCUCAGACCAUGAAACUGUUCGGUAGAGUAGGAGACACAAGGCUGUUACUGAUGGUUGACAGUGGAGCGAGCCACUGUUUUGUGUCCGAAAAGGUGGCCCGAAAGCUAAAUUGGCAAAUUGAACCCACAACUUCUUUUUCGGUGGUAUUGGGUGAUGGCUCUCGAGUUCGCACUGGAGGAAUAUGUAAGGAUGUUCCACUCACACUGGAUACUGAGACAUUUUAUAUCUCUUGCUAUGUUUUUCCUAUUUGCAGUGUGGAUAUGAUAUUGGGUGUGUCGUGGCUGGCUACCCUAGGAGAGGUGAAAGCAAAUUGGAGAAAUCUUACCAUGGAAUUUUCGUUGAAUGGGCGUUUACAAUGCCUGCGUGGAGAUCCCUCACUCACUCGCAGGGCCUGUUCCAUUCACGAGCUCUGUUCAGGUGAGCAAGGAGAUGAGUGUUGGGCGUUGAGGUCUUUGGAUGGGGGUGCGACGUUGGAGCGAUUCGGGGUUUCUGAGUCCCUUUCGCCAUCUGCUAAGAACGAACUGGAGGCUGUCUUGGCAGCCUUUCCGUCUGUGAGUGCGCCCUCAGCAAGUCUUCCUCCAGCAAGGGAGUGUGAUCACCGAAUUGUGCUUCAACCAGGAGCUGGACCUGUCUCUGUGCGUCCCUACCGAUACAAUCAUUUGCAAAAAGAUGAGAUGGAGAAGUUGGUGGCCGAGAUGAUUGCAGCAGGGAUUAUACAGCCGAGCAACAGUCCGUAUUCCAGUCCUGUGCUGUUGGUUCGCAAGAAGGAUGGAUCAUGGCGUUUCUGCGUUGAUUACCGUGGGUUGAAUAAGAUAACAGUACCAGACAAAUAUCCAAUACCAGUAAUCCAGGAAUUAUUAGACGAGUUACAUGGAGCAGCAUGGUUCAGCAAAUUGGACCUUCGAGCUGGGUAUCAUCAGAUUCGAGUGGCUCGAGCCGACGUACCCAAAACCGCCUUUCGAACUCACUCAGGACAUUAUGAGUUCUUGGUCAUGCCCUUUGGUUUGACAAAUGCCCCAGCUACGUUUCAGAGUUUGAUGAAUGACAUUUUUCGACCAUUCCUACGCAGAUUCGUGUUGGUAUUCUUUGAUGAUAUCCUGGUUUAUAGCCGUUCCUGGCCGGAACAUUUAGAGCAUCUUCGGCAGACAUUUCAAGUUCUCCAUAACCAGUCAUUGGUCAUCAAUCCCAAGAAAUGCC
Molecule: long non-coding RNA, 3205 nt
Filed under: Salvia miltiorrhiza (redroot sage)
Lineage: Eukaryota; Viridiplantae; Streptophyta; Magnoliopsida; Lamiales; Lamiaceae
Description: long non-coding RNA (SMIL_LNC006693)
Source: RNAcentral